Molecule: ribosomal RNA, 431 nt
Filed under: uncultured bacterium
Lineage: Bacteria
Description: partial 16S ribosomal RNA
Rfam family: Bacterial small subunit ribosomal RNA
Source: RNAcentral
AACGAACGCUGGCGGCAUGCCUAACACAUGCAAGUCGAACGAGACCUUCGGGUCUAGUGGCGCACGGGUGCGUAACGCGUGGGAACCUGCCCUUAGGUUCGGAAUAACUCCCCGAAAGGGGUGCUAAUACCGGAUAAUGUCUUCGGACCAAAGAUUUGUCGCCUGUGGAUGGGCCCGCGUUGGAUUAGCUAGUUGGUAGGGUAAAAGCCUACCAAGGCGACGAUCCAUAGCUGGUCUGAGAGGAUGACAAGCCACACUGGGAAUGAGACACGGCAGACUCCUACGGGAGGGAGCAGUGGGGAAUAUUGGACAAGGGGGGAAAGCCUGACACAGCAAUGCCGCGUGAGUGAUGAAGGCCGUAGGGUUGUAAAGCUGUUUUAGCCGGGAUGAUAAUGACAGUACCGGGAGAAUAAGCACCGGCUAACUACGUG